This 292-nucleotide ribosomal RNA is filed under the name uncultured eukaryote. RNAcentral's name for it is "partial 18S ribosomal RNA". It matches the Rfam family "Eukaryotic small subunit ribosomal RNA", at positions 6 to 302 of the family's 1831-position model. The record is from RNAcentral.
GGUUGAUCCUGCCAGUAGUCAUAUGCUUGUCUCAAAGAUUAAGCCAUGCAAGUCUAAGUAUUAGUUUUAAUACAACGAAACUGCGAAUGGCUCAUUAAAACAGUUAUAAUUUACGUGAAAAUAAUUACUACACGGAUAACCGUGGUAAUUCUGGAGCUAAUACGUGCGCAACACUGGACUUAGGAAAGGUGGCACUUAUUAGAUUAAGAAUCAACCUAUGCUUGCAUAGUAGUUUGAUGAUCCAUAAUAAGUUGGCGAAUCGCAUGGCUUAGGCUGGCGAUAGUUCACUUAA